GCCUGGGUGGCUCAGUCAGUUGAGUGUCUGACUUCAGCUCAGGUCAUGAUCUCAUGGUCCGUGGGUUCGAGCCCCACGUCAGGCU
This 85-nucleotide transfer RNA is filed under the name Felis catus (domestic cat). It matches the Rfam family "tRNA". Rfam says of the family: Transfer RNA (tRNA) molecules are approximately 80 nucleotides in length. Their secondary structure includes four short double-helical elements and three loops (D, anti-codon, and T loops). The record is from Rfam by way of RNAcentral. Lineage: Eukaryota; Metazoa; Chordata; Mammalia; Carnivora; Felidae.